RNAcentral lists this ribosomal RNA (415 nucleotides) under uncultured bacterium. RNAcentral describes it as "bacterial SSU rRNA". It matches the Rfam family "Bacterial small subunit ribosomal RNA", at positions 355 to 775 of the family's 1533-position model. The record is from RNAcentral.
UGGGGAAUAUUGCACAAUGGGCGGAAGCCUGAUGCAGCGACGCCGCGUGGGGGAUGACGGCCUUCGGGUUGUAAACCUCUUUCAGUGCAGAACAAGGCUCUUUGUGGGUUGAGGGUAUGCGCAGAAGAAGCGCCGGCUAACUACGUGCCAGCAGCCGCGGUAAUACGUAGGGCGCGAGCGUUGUCCGGACUUAUUGGGCGUAAAGUGCUCGUAGGCGGUUUGUCGCGUCUGCCGUGAAAUCCUCGGGCUUAACUGGGGGCGUGCAGUGGGUACGGGCAGACUGGAGUGCGGUAGGGGAGACUGGAAUUCCUGGUGUAGCGGUGAAAUGCGCAGAUAUCAGGAGGAACACCGGUGGCGAAGGCGGGUCUCUGGGCCGUUAUUGACGCUGAGGAGCGAAAGCAUGGGAAGCGAACAG